This 323-nucleotide ribosomal RNA is filed under the name uncultured eukaryote. Its description in RNAcentral is "partial 18S ribosomal RNA". It matches the Rfam family "Eukaryotic small subunit ribosomal RNA", at positions 1470 to 1796 of the family's 1831-position model. The record is from RNAcentral.
CCCUUAGAUGUUCUGGGCCGCACGCGUGCUACACUGAACGGUUCAAUGGGUAAGGUAGUGCGAAAGCAUGACCUAAUCUCGAAAUCCGUUCGUGCUGGGGAUAGAAGCUUGCAAUUAUCCUUCUUGAACGAGGAAUACCUUGUAAGCGUGAGUCAUCAUCUCACGCUGAAUACGUCCCUGCCCUUUGUACACACCGCCCGUCGCUCCUACCGAUUGAGUGUUCCGGUGAGGCUUUGGGAGAAUGGCCUCAACAUGAGUUUAUCGUGUUUUGCCGUUUGAACUUAGUCAAACCUUAUCACUUAGAGGAAGGAGAAGUCGGAACA